CAUAGAAAACGAUUGCUGUAAUACAGAGGAAAGUCCAGGCUUCCACAAGCUGCGAUGCUUGUAGUGUUUGUACGUAACGAAUAAAUAAGUUACGGUAGCGUGAGCUAACGACAAGCCUAAGACCUAAACAAUUUUAUUGCAUGGUUGAUAAGCUAUAAAGUGCCACAGAAACAAUUCUAGUUGAAAAACUAGCUGAAAAGAGGUAAACUCUGCAAGGAAGAAACCCAAAUUUGGUAGGGGAAUCGUCUUGAGGGAAAUGAACUAAAAGACGGAUGCUUAAAGCAUAGAUAAAUAAUCGUUUGAAAAACAGAACUUGGCUUACAAAG
RNAcentral lists this RNase P RNA (326 nucleotides) under Erysipelatoclostridium sp. An173. RNAcentral describes it as "RNase P RNA component class B". It matches the Rfam family "Bacterial RNase P class B". Rfam says of the family: Ribonuclease P (RNase P) is a ubiquitous endoribonuclease, found in archaea, bacteria and eukarya as well as chloroplasts and mitochondria. Lineage: Bacteria; Bacillati; Bacillota; Erysipelotrichia; Erysipelotrichales; Coprobacillaceae. The record is from RNAcentral. RNAcentral also lists the same sequence under 1 other name.